ACCUGCCCAGUGAAUCUUUCAACGGCCGCGGUACCCUGACCGUGCUAAGGUAGCGCAAUCACUUGCCCUUUAAUUGGGGGCUAGUAUGAAUGGUCAAACGAGGGUGAAACUGUCUCAUUAAGGCUGUCGUAAAUUAUCCCUCACGUGAAGAGACCUGAAUAUAAUAGAAAGACGAGAAGACCCUAUCAAGCUUCACACCUUCCGGGCCUAUAAAAACCUGCCCACUAAGUGUUUUGUUGGGGCAACACAGGAACUCACUCUUCCUUACCACUACAUUCAUUCAACCAAACAAUCCGAUAUAAUCGAACCAAGAUAAAGCUACUGUAGGGAUAACAGGCUAAUCUGCUUCGAGAGCCCACAUUGACAAGCAGGAUUGGCACCUCGAUGUUGGCUUAAGAACCCUUAUUGGGGCAGCCCCCAAUAAAAGGAGGUUUGUUCAACCUAUAAUAUCUUACAUGAUCU
RNAcentral lists this ribosomal RNA (462 nucleotides) under Sipunculus nudus (marine worm). RNAcentral describes it as "partial 16S ribosomal RNA". It matches the Rfam family "Bacterial large subunit ribosomal RNA", at positions 1857 to 2606 of the family's 2925-position model. The record is from RNAcentral. Lineage: Eukaryota; Metazoa; Annelida; Sipuncula; Golfingiida; Sipunculidae.